UACGUAGGGGGCAAGCGUUAUCCGGAAUUACUGGGUGUAAAGGGAGCGUAGGCGGCAUGGUAAGUAAGAUGUGAAAGCCCGAGGCUUAACCUCGAGGAUUGCAUUUUAAACUAUUAAGCUAGAGUACAGGAGAGGAAAGCGGAAUUCCUAGUGUAGCGGUGAAAUGCGUAGAUAUUAGGAAGAACACCAGUGGCGAAGGCGGCUUUCUGGACUGAAACUGACGCUGAGGCUCGAAAGCGUGGGGAGCGAACAGG
This 254-nucleotide ribosomal RNA is filed under the name Anaerotignum lactatifermentans. Its description in RNAcentral is "partial 16S ribosomal RNA". It matches the Rfam family "Bacterial small subunit ribosomal RNA", at positions 524 to 776 of the family's 1533-position model. The record is from RNAcentral. Lineage: Bacteria; Bacillati; Bacillota; Clostridia; Lachnospirales; Anaerotignaceae.